This 464-nucleotide ribosomal RNA is filed under the name uncultured bacterium. RNAcentral's name for it is "bacterial SSU rRNA". It matches the Rfam family "Bacterial small subunit ribosomal RNA", at positions 338 to 795 of the family's 1533-position model. The record is from RNAcentral.
CCUACGGGUGGCAGCAGUGGGGAAUAUCGCACAAUGGGCGCAAGCCUGAUGCAGCCAUGCCGCGUGUAUGAAGAAGGCCUUCGGGUUGUAAAGUACUUUCAGCGGGGAGGAAGGUGUUGUGGUUAAUAACCACAGCAAAUGACGUUACCCGCAGAAGAAGCACCGGCUAACUCCGUGCAGCAGCCGCGGUAAUACGGAGGGUGCAAGCGUUAAUCGGAAUUACUGGGCGUAAAGCGCACGCAGGCGGUCUGUCAAGUCGGAUGUGAAAUCCCCGGGCUCAACCUGGGAACUGCAUUCGAAACUGGCAGGCUAGAGUCUUGUAGAGGGGGGUAGAAUUCCAGGUGUAGCGGUGAAAUGCGUAGAGAUCUGGAGGAAUACCGGUGGCGAAGGCGGCCCCCUGGACAAAGACUGACGCUCAGGUGCGAAAGCGUGGGGAGCAAACAGGAUUAGAUACCCCGAUAGUC